This is a long non-coding RNA of Panicum virgatum (switchgrass), 1020 nucleotides long. RefSeq lists it as uncharacterized. The transcript is spliced from 3 exons. Lineage: Eukaryota; Viridiplantae; Streptophyta; Magnoliopsida; Poales; Poaceae. The record is from RefSeq and is a predicted model, not a curated record.
GGACCAUGUUAUUUGUCAUCUGCUUCAGUCCUAUUGCUUUCUAGCUACCAUUUGAUAUUUAGAUAUGAUGUGCUAGCGCUCAAUUUUGUUUCCAAAUUAAAAGGGAAGCAGUUAAGUUUUCUUUUGUGCUAAUAAUUCUGGAUUAACGUCACAAUUCAAAGACAUGGCAGCUGAAGCUGACAUGAACUGAUAUCUGCUUUUACUGUGUACUCCCUGCAGCCUGCUGUCUACUUUGUGGAUGAACAAUUGAAACAAUCGUAUGAGAUUUUGGUGCGCUGUCACAAUUGAGUUGAUGGCUUCCUGUUAAUUGCGUAGACAUUGCAUUUAAUCAUCAAUUGAUCUACCAAACCUGCAAUCAGUGAUUUUUUUGCCCGCAGACAAUGGUUCCGCUGGUCAUUAUGACUUGAGUAGUCGUAUGCUAACUUGGCAGCUUAUUAUUAAUCAUCUUUGUAUUAGGAUGCUUAUUGAUGGUGAGGAAUAAUGCCAGCAGACAAUGGUUCACUGAUUACGCUCACAUACUCUCAAUUAUUAUAUUUACUUGAAACUGAAAUUCACGCUAGAUGUAUCAUCUAAGAGUACAACAUUUCUUUGUUCACUACUGAUGCAGUAGAAUUAUUGCCAAAUUUCUCAUUGACGCAUGCACUCAGUAAACAGUUUGCUUUCAACAGAUUAAUGUAGUUGUGUGAUGAUACACGGAACGUCUGUGCCAUUUGCUUGUAAUUCAUUCCCUUGCAGUAUGUCUGCCUUGCCGAAAAGAUGUUCCUUUGAUGACAACCCUCGGCAGUACAAAUAUCAACUUCAUCAGAUUCCUGAUGUUCCUUUGAUGAAAACCCUCAGCAAAUCAUCAGUAUGAAAGCGGAAGAAUGAAAGACCAGAAUUACAAGCCUGAUAUUAUUGAUACAUAGCAAAGGGGUUUCACCAGUGACUGACUAUCAUGCCGGGGACUGCAUGCAUGCUUGUACAUACAAGUAAGAGUAAGCCUUUAAUAAAUACACAGAGCUUCACACGGUUGUGACUAAU